UACGGAGGAUGCGAGCGUUAUCCGGAUUUAUUGGGUUUAAAGGGUGCGCAGGCGGCCUGUUAAGUCAGCGGUCAAAGCCCGGGGCUCAACCCCGGCCCGCCGUUGAAACUGGCAGUCUCGAGUUGGAGAGAAGUAUGCGGAAUGCGCGGUGUAGCGGUGAAAUGCGUAGAUAUUAGGAGGAACACCAGUGGCGAAGGCGGCCUGCUGGACGACAACUGACGGUGAGGCGCGAAAGCGUGGGGAGCAAACAGG
RNAcentral lists this ribosomal RNA (252 nucleotides) under uncultured Bacteroidales bacterium. RNAcentral's name for it is "partial 16S ribosomal RNA". It matches the Rfam family "Bacterial small subunit ribosomal RNA", at positions 524 to 776 of the family's 1533-position model. The record is from RNAcentral. Lineage: Bacteria; Pseudomonadati; Bacteroidota; Bacteroidia; Bacteroidales.